Nocardioides sp. PD653 is the source of this 73-nucleotide transfer RNA. It matches the Rfam family "tRNA". From Rfam's summary of the family: Transfer RNA (tRNA) molecules are approximately 80 nucleotides in length. The record is from Rfam. Lineage: Bacteria; Bacillati; Actinomycetota; Actinomycetes; Propionibacteriales; Nocardioidaceae.
GCCGGUGUAGCUCAGUUGGUAGAGCGCGUCUCUUGUAAAGACGAUGUCGCGGGUUCGAUUCCUGUCACCGGCU